Molecule: ribosomal RNA, 253 nt
Filed under: uncultured bacterium
Lineage: Bacteria
Description: partial 16S ribosomal RNA
Rfam family: Bacterial small subunit ribosomal RNA
Source: RNAcentral
UACGUAGGGGGCAAGCGUUGUCCGGAUUUAUUGGGCGUAAAGAGCGUGUAGGCGGCUGGGUAGGUCCGUUGUGAAAACUCGAGGCUCAACCUCGAGACGCCGAUGGAAACCCUCCAGCUAGAGUCCGGAAGAGGAGAGUGGAAUUCCUGGUGUAGCGGUGAAAUGCGCAGAUAUCAGGAAGAACACCCGUGGCUAAGGCGGCUCUCUAGUACGGUACUGACGCUGAGACGCGAAAGCUAGGGGAGCAAACAGG